UACGGAGGGUGCAAGCGUUAUCCGGAUUCACUGGGUUUAAAGGGUGCGUAGGUGGGUUGGUAAGUCAGUGGUGAAAUCUCCGGGCUUAACCUGGAAACUGCCAUUGAUACUAUCAAUCUUGAAUACCUUGGAGGUGAGCGGUAUAUGUCAUGUAGCGGUGAAAUGCUUAGAUAUGACAUAGAACACCAAUUGCGAAGGCAGCUCACUACACGGUCAUUGACACUGAGGCACGAAAGCGUGGGGAUCAAACAGG
Molecule: ribosomal RNA, 253 nt
Filed under: uncultured bacterium
Lineage: Bacteria
Description: partial 16S ribosomal RNA
Rfam family: Bacterial small subunit ribosomal RNA
Source: RNAcentral